UGAUUGCAAGGGCGCUACCAUGCAGUCGAGCGCACUCUUCGGAGUGAGCGGCGGACGGGUUAGUAACGCGUGGGAACGUGCCCUUCUCUAAGGAAUAGCCACUGGAAACGGUGAGUAAUACCUUAUACGCCCUUCGGGGGAAAGAUUUAUCGGAGAAGGAUCGGCCCGCGUUAGAUUAGAUAGUUGGUGGGGUAAUGGCCUACCAAGUCUACGAUCUAUAGCUGGUUUUAGAGGAUGAUCAGCAACACUGGGACUGAGACACGGCCCAGACUCCUACGGGAGGCAGCAGUGGGGAAUCUUGGACAAUGGGCGCAAGCCUGAUCCAGCCAUGCCGCGUGAGUGAUGAAGGCCUUAGGGUCGUAAAGCUCUUUCGCCAGAGAUGAUAAUGACAGUAUCUGGUAAAGAAACCCCGGCUAACUCCGUGCCAGCAGCCGCGGUAAUACGGAGGGGGUUAGCGUUGUUCGGAAUUACUGGGCGUAAAGCGCACGUAGGCGGAUCAGAAAGUAUAGGGUGAAAUCCCAGGGCUCAACCCUGGAACUGCCUUGUAAACUCCUGGUCUUGAGUUCGAGAGAGGUGAGUGGAAUUCCGAGUGUAGAGGUGAAAUUCGUAGAUAUUCGGAGGAACACCAGUGGCGAAGGCGGCUCACUGGCUCGAUACUGACGCUGAGGUGCGAAAGUGUGGGGAGCAAACAGGAUUAGAUACCCU
This 705-nucleotide ribosomal RNA is filed under the name Phaeobacter sp. Its description in RNAcentral is "bacterial SSU rRNA". It matches the Rfam family "Bacterial small subunit ribosomal RNA", at positions 37 to 788 of the family's 1533-position model. Lineage: Bacteria; Pseudomonadati; Pseudomonadota; Alphaproteobacteria; Rhodobacterales; Roseobacteraceae. The record is from RNAcentral.